CAUAGAAUCUACCCCCAAAACCAAGAGCACACUGUAUACACUGUCUGUUAGCUGACUUGACAAUAAAUUUUAAAAAAAGGAGUCAAUUACUAAUAUUAACAGCUAGACAGCUGCCAGAUGUUUCAAGGGUACCCAAGACUGAGGAUGGUUUACAUUCAUAUCAAUAUGGCCUGCCUUUGGUGCAUUUGAUCCCCAUGAUCAUUGUGCUGACAGCGCCUGCUCUCUUUCAGACAGUGGCCACUCAAAGACGGUGUGCAUUUCCCACCAGCAUGCAUUUUAGUGACCUCAGUUUUGAGAGCUGAAGAAACAAAUGGUAUACGUUGUGGAGGCUACUUUCUAGAAAGGUUCAUUUGUACAAAAUUAAAGCUUCAUAUAUGAAUUCGUGUGAAUUGCAUUGUGUGUGUGUUUGCUCCUAAAAUACAGGUAAGUCUAGUUUUUGUAAAAUGAUAUGUGUUCUUUUGUUUUGAUGACCAUAUCCAGGACUUUUGUAUUCUUUUAGAAGUUAAUUUUAAUAGUUGUUAUUGAUUGAUUUAGGUGCAAUACUCUGAAAUACUCUGAAUACGUGAAUUCCUUUCAUUGGCUAUUUGACGGGUGUAAUCAAGGAACUUAAAAUCUCAUAGAUAUCAUCAGAAUAUAUAAGACCAUCUGAUUAUGCAAGUCUUUAUUUACUUCAGAAAUUUGACAUUUUGGGCUGCGAUUCGGUAUCAAAGUAAACAUUGAAAGAAAAUGUCAAUGUGUUUAGGAAGCGAAAAAGAAGUAUAAUUUGUUUGGAAUAAUAAUCCCGUAUUUAUAAGAGCAACUACCCAUCACUCACAGUUAUGUCCCUAUCUGUAAACAUCUAUCUAUAUAACAUUCUCAUUUGUAUCUCUAGUACAUUUUUUAUUGUUACUUUCUCCCAUUCUUUCAUAAAUUUUGGGCAUAUUUUUGGAGAUCUUCAAAAGGAGUUUAGGUACUUUAUGAAUGUACAUUAGAAGUCAUUGACUUCUUAUCGAUCAUAUGUUUAAUAUUAUGUAUUUUUCUAUUUUAAGUUGGUUUAUAAAUUCUUAGGUUAACUAUUUAGAAAGUACUUGGAAUGUGUUUGUCAGCAAAAUAAAAUCCCUAAGUGUUGUCCAUUCUAGUUUUGCUAUAGCUUCAGUGUGGUAUAAUUUAUGUAUAAUAACACCUUUUCAAAGGAAACGAUUUGUUGAUAUUUGACAUAUAAGGAGUAAUGAAGCUAUCAACACAGUAAGAGAAUAAACACACUCCAUCACUCCCAAAGUUUGCUCCUGCUCCUUUCUAAGCCAUCUGUCCUCCUCCUUUGAGGAGGCAUUUGAAAGUCUCCUGGAGAUUGCUUGAGGGUUUGUAAAGAUGAUUCUUUGUGACAGAUAUAUUGUAAAUGUCUUUGAUGGAUUCCUCGUUGUCUCCAAUAUUAUUUCAGCUUCUCCAUAUUUUAUCCUACCAUUUCUCUCUUGGCUCUGAUGUGUUUGGAAUUCUGUGGAAACAUAACAUUAUUACUGCCUCCCUGGGAAUUUGUGCAUUUCUAAUUUACCUCUGGAGAACUGUAUUUGCUGUUAGUAUACUAAAGUACCUUAUAUUUUUUAAAUCAUAAAUAAGCAGAAAAUUUUAUACUCACUGUGCCUUUAUAUGCACUCAGUAUUACAAAUUUCCUUCUAAUCUGUUCAAUUUUCACUGUCAUUUAGAUUGAACUAUUUAAAAAUUUCUGUAGAAAUGUCUUCUUUGACCCAUAUAUUUUUUAAGUUCAAGUGUAAUGUACAUACAAUGUAAUAUUAGAUUCAGGUGUGCAUUACAAUUCUACAGUUCUUUACAUUUCUCAGUGCUCAUCACCUUAAGUGUACUCUUGAUCCCCUCUUUUGCCCAUUCUCCCACCAACCUCCCCUCUAACCCAUGUGUUCUUUAGAAGCUUAUUUAAUCUACAGUGUUUUUGUCAUUUUCCAGCUAUCUUUCUGUUUGUGAGGUCUAAUUUGACUCAUUUGUGGUCUGAGGACAUACUUCCUAUGAUUUCUGUUAUUGUGGCUGACCAGAUGUAUCUUAUGGCCGCAAAUAUGGCCUGUCUCAGUGAAUGUUCUAUGUGAGCUUGACAGGAAUGUAUAAUCUUCUGUUGGAUGAGGUAUUCUACAGAUGGUAAUGGAUCCAGUUGAUUGGUGGUGCUGUUCAGGUCAUAUGUGAUCUUACUGAAUGUCUGUAUGCUGGAUCUGUUGGUGCCUGAUAGAGGGUAUUGAAUUCUCCAGCUGUAGUAACAGAUUCAGCUCUUUUCUACCAGCAGUUCUGUCAGUGUUGGCCUUGUGUAUCUUGACACAUCGGCAUGCACAUUAGAAAUUGUUGCGUCUUUUUGGAGAACUGACUUCUUUAGCAUUGAAGUAACGCCAGUCAUUAUCCCUGACAAUUUUCCUUACUCUGUAGUGUGUCUGAAGGAUAAUUUCACUGGAUACAGACAGUUUGAUGUUUAACACUUGAAAUAUUCUCUUCUUCUUGAUUGUGUGGUUUAUGAAAAGAAGUCUCAGAUAUUUCUUAUCCUUGUUCCUCUUGGGUAAGGUGUUCUUGCUUCCUUCUCUCCUUACACCCCCAUCCCCUGCUCCAGAUUUCCAAAGCUGUUUUAAUUAUCUGUAGUUGAAUAUUAUACAUUAAGUGUAGUUGGUGGGUUUUUUGUUGUUGUUGUUAGUUGUUUGUAUGUUUGUCUUGGGUAUUUGUCCUGCUUUUGAUUUUUUGAGAAUCCUGGAUCUGUGAUUUGGUGACUACUAUUUACUUCGGAAAAUCUCAGUCAUUAUUGCUUCAAAUAUCUCUCUUUUCCAUUGUCAUGGUAUUCCUAACGUGUGUGCUACACAUUUUGCAAUUGUCCCACUGGUCUUGGGUUUUCUGUGCCAUAUUUUUAACUUUUUUCUUUGUGUUUCCUUUUUGGAAGGUGCUCCUGGAAUUUCUUUAGGCUCAGUGAUUAUUUCCGUAGCUAUGUUGAGUCUGCUAAUCCAUCAAAGGCAUUUUUUAUUUCUGUUAUGGUGCUCUUGAUAUCUCGAAUCACUUUAAAGUCUUAGAGGUUCAUCUCUCUGCUUACAUUCACCAUCUCUUUUUGCAUGUUGUCCACUUUUUUUCAUUAUCUGCAUUAUCAUAGGAAUGGAAGUGGUUUUAAGUUCCCAGACUGAUAAUUCCUACAUCUCUGCCAUAGGAAGUGUGAUUCUAGCGUGUUUUCUGUCUGUGUUCAAACUGUGUGGUUUUUACUUUACUAUGCCUUGUAAGUUGUGUUGAAAUGUAAAUGUUACGUGCUGGUAAAGAAACUGAGGUAAAUAGGACAUGAGUGUGAGGUUUUUAUAUUUAUCUGGCUAGGGGUUAGGUUGAAUUUACUUCCAGGUGAGACAGGAAGGAGAGAGCCCUGGCGUUGAGUAUUUUCCCUCACCUAUAUUGCUUACUCUUUGGGAAAUCCCCAGUUAGUCUCUUAGUUCCUCUCGAGGGCAGAUCUUUUCUGGAAGAACAGAAUACUUUGGAAUUUAUUUCUAAAUGAGUAUCUCCCCCUCCCCCUGCCACUGUAGGACACUUGCCUUCACAAAGAAACACAACUAUUAAGUAUUUUGUGUGUUCAUAUUCCUUUUCACUUCCCCAGCCCGUGGGGAUGGGUGACAAGGGACAGGGAAGCUCAGAGGUUCCUAAGUGGCUUUUUGAUAGCAUGAUGAUAUUCCAAUAUCCUGGCAAGAGUGUAGGGCUGGCCUCAGCCUCUCAUCAUCCUUUAAAACUUUAGAAUGGGGAACUAUGUUGAUGGUGUCAAAACAGGAUCAUGCCUAGAUUUGAUUGGGCUAGAAUUUAUCAAGGGUGACUGAGGUCUGCAGAGCACUUUUUGUUCUUUUGUUUGAAACACUAGCUGUCAUUUCUGUUGUUGCUUGUGCUUUAGCUGUAGCCGUGUUUUAUUCUUUUUCUCAUUUGGUGGCUUCUAUUUCGUUUGUAGCAGUCUGGAAAAAAUCAUGGCACCUGAUGUGCUAUAACUCUGUAUGAAUUAAGUAAACAGCCAACUCCAUGUAAGAUUUCAGAAGAGCUUUCUAGAGAAUGAAAGAAGUAUAUCUUAGCACAAAGGUUUUGCUCUUCCUUCCUUCUCUCCCUCCCUCCCUCCCUCCCUCCCCUCCCUCCCGUCCGUCCUUCCUUCCUUCCUUCCUUCCUUCCUUCCUUCCUUCCUUCCUUCCUUCCUAUUUCUUUAUUUCAGUAUUUAAAAAUAAUCCUAGUUCUAAACUUCAGUGUGGAUACUGGGUUUAAAAAAAAUAAGUGAGGGAAAUGAUGAUUUAGUGCAUUUUUUAAAUGUCUGUAUUAUCAAUGGUCAAAAUUGAAUAGGCUGAAUGUUCACUUAAUAUAAACAGAUUUUUGGUUCAAAAAAAAAGCUAUUUACGUUGUGCUCUUUAACAGAAAUUGUGAAGUACCAUGACUUAAAUAGGAAGUUCUAACUUUUUCUUAUUUUUUAAUCCUGUGAAUUAAUUAUGCAAAAUAAAAUUAUUGUAAUUUAAUUGGAUUACUAUUUUGCUGUUUAUCAGGAACUAUAGGUUUUUACUAAUAAUAUGUUUUGACAACAAAUUUAAUUUUGUUUUUUCCCCUCUUAGAGCCUCGAGGAUAUCAUGAAAAUAAAAAGGCCCUGGAAGACAAGUGUAAUGCAUUGAGGUCUGUGAAAGCAACAAAGGAAGCAAAAGUCAAACAGCUGAAGGAGAAAGCACAUAACCUGGAAGAAUUCUAUGAACAAAGAAAAGUGCCUACAGAAAAGAAGCUGAAAAUGACACUGUGAACUGGCGGCAAAGAAGAAUCAGCUGGCCGCUGCAGGCAACAAAUUGAACAAACACGGGAACAGCUGCAGCAGGCAGAGCUCACCUUUAGACACUAGGUAACCUGAGUUCUGCCUGACAUACUGAACCCUUAGCAUCUCACGCGGGUGAGUGUAGUGGCUCGUGGGAUCCCUAAACAUGGGCUUUUCGUUGUUGGCUUUUUCAGCUCGCAGUUCAUGAGAAGAAUGCUUAGGACAACUAGAUCAAGACUCAGAUCUGGGACAGGGAGAUGGUGGAGCAGGGCAGGGAGGUCGCUUACUUGAAAUACAGACUGGACGGGAUGGAAGCAAAGAGGCUGCCUGAGGGAUACACAAGGCAGAAACCAAUGGCUGCAGGACCAGAGAUUCAGAACCCUCCAAAGAGAGGGUCUUUGGUAGAUCCAGAAACUGCUGAAACCUCUGUGAGUUAGAGCAGCUCUGACUGCACCAAGAAUGCAGACAAGGACAAGGACAGGACCCUUGCCAGUUUACUUCUGCAGACAUGGGCAGUGAUGUGUGGUGGCAUCCAGUGGCAGGGACAGAGUUUUCAGGGCAGUCUGGAUCCUGGGGACCUGCUCCGUUAACUGGACGAUUCUGCAUGCCCUACCCUGGAGACGCCCCGCCCCCAUGGACUAUUAGGCACGUCCACCUCCUGAACCUUAGUGGCCCUGAAGCCACCCAGAACCCCUCCACCUGCAACACCUGGUCUUGGGCCAAGGUGCAGAGAAGGUACCACAGACCACUGUGAUGCAAGGGGAAUGUCUGCUGCCAUUACCACAUUCCUCAAGUUUCUCAGGAUCUCAUCUUUGUCAUUUCCCCCAUCAUGGGUCCAGGAGCAGGUGUCACACCCAAGAGUGACAUCGACACUGGCUCUGCCAAAACUGCCGAGAAACACAAGGCUAUUAUGUAUUCAAGAGGGCCUGGUCCUUUCCCAGGAUCGCCUUGCAGGCUGUUCCCCAUGGACCACCCUUCACCACCAGUCAUGGGCUAUAGGCCACGUCCCCCUCCACCACCAGCUCCUCCACCUCCUCUAUUUGUUAAGAUGACCUGAACUGGAUGAGAGGCUGGUAAAGUAUAUUCACCUUCUUCACGAUUGACUUUGUGGGAAUGAUGUAGAGAUGGCUGUGAGUCUUGGCAAUGCAACUACCAACUGCCUGAGGACACUGUAGCAUAUCUCAAGUUUCUCAGGACAUACAUACAAUGGGCAGUGUCAUUUCCCUGUAAUAUGGUGAGCUAUACAUUUCUCUUGUCAAAUGAGAGGAUUUUUUACACAAAAGCAGACGUAUCAGCA
Long non-coding RNA from Herpailurus yagouaroundi (jaguarundi), 6053 nucleotides. RefSeq lists it as uncharacterized. NCBI's taxonomy places the organism in Eukaryota, Metazoa, Chordata, Mammalia, Carnivora, Felidae. The transcript has 12 exons. The record is from RefSeq and is a predicted model, not a curated record.